RNAcentral lists this unclassified non-coding RNA (867 nucleotides) under Rhagoletis pomonella (apple maggot). RNAcentral describes it as "transmembrane protein 184C-like, transcript variant X1". The record is from RNAcentral. Lineage: Eukaryota; Metazoa; Arthropoda; Insecta; Diptera; Tephritidae.
GUAUCCGUAUCGAAAUUCGUGUUCCUAGAGAUUGUGUUACUACAGUAUUCAAUGUGGUCCAUAAUGCCUAAUAGUCAGAUGCCAACUCAAGUACGGUUCGAGAAACCCAAAUUCUAAUCUCGAAUUAUUUUGUUGCAUGAACCACAUUUCCAUACACUUUCGAGUUUGGAACAAAUUGUGCAUAAAUGUGCACCAUAAAUUGGCGACGUUUUUGUGAAGAGUGGCGUAUCUGGAUAAGACCACUCCUGAUCGUUACGUAUGGCAUUUUUGCUAUUAUUGUAGUGCCAUUGCUUAUUGUCAAUUCCGUAAAGGAUGGCUUUACAAAAAAGGAUCAAUUUAUUCUCAUUGGGGGGACUUUUUGUCUUGUCUGCUGUUCCAGUCUCAAUUUGGCAUAUCAUUCAACAUGUAAUACACUUUACAAAACCAAUUUUGCAGAAGCAUAUUAUACGAAUUCUAUGGAUGGUGCCAAUUUAUGCUCUUAAUGCCUGGAUUGGACUCUUUUUUCCAAAGCACUCUAUUUAUGUAGACUCUCUUCGGGAAUGCUACGAAGCCUACGUGAUAUACAAUUUUAUGGUCUACCUAUUACAUUAUCUUAACUUGGGAAUGGACCUAGAAGCCACGAUGGAAUAUAAGCCACAGGUGUACCAUUUCUUUCCUCUUUGUUGCAUGCGCCCUUGGCCCAUGGGUCGCGAAUUCAUACAUAACUGCAAGCACGGAAUUCUUCAAUACACGGUCGUCCGGCCUAUAACCACUUUCAUUUCUGUGUAAGUAUAUAUGCAGGCCUGUUUGCUUAGCGAACAAUUCAUUUUAAUUUGUUACGACACACAAAGGAGUACAUAUUUGCAUAGUAAAACUGGUCAAAAUUGA